AGCCUGACCAGCCAUGCCGCGUGCAGGAAGACGGCCUUCUGGGUUGUAAACUGCUUUUCUACGGGAAGAAAAUGCCCUUGCGAGGGAAAUUGCCGGUACCGUAGGAAUAAGCACCGGCUAACUCCGUGCCAGCAGCCGCGGUAAUACGGAGGGUGCAAGCGUUGUCCGGAUUUAUUGGGUUUAAAGGGUGCGUAGGCGGAUCUUUAAGUCAGUGGUGAAAGCCUGCAGCUUAACUGUAGAACUGCCAUUGAUACUGGAGGUCUUGAGUACACUAGAGGUAGGCGGAAUUUAUGGUGUAGCGGUGAAAUGCAUAGAUACCAUAAAGAACACCUAUAGCGUAGGCAGCUUACUGGAGUGUAACUGACGCUGAGGCACGAAAGCAUGGGGAGCGAACAGGAUUAGAUACCCUGGUAGUCCAUGCCGUAAACGAUGAUUACUCGAUGUUGGCGAUAUACUGUCAGCGUCCAAGCGAAAGCGUUAAGUAAUCCACCUGGGGAGUACGCUCGCAAGAGUGAAACUCAAAUG
This 525-nucleotide ribosomal RNA is filed under the name Roseivirga spongicola. Its description in RNAcentral is "bacterial SSU rRNA". It matches the Rfam family "Bacterial small subunit ribosomal RNA", at positions 380 to 907 of the family's 1533-position model. Lineage: Bacteria; Pseudomonadati; Bacteroidota; Cytophagia; Cytophagales; Roseivirgaceae. The record is from RNAcentral.